Mus musculus (house mouse) is the source of this 1820-nucleotide long non-coding RNA. RefSeq annotates it as predicted gene, 46326. The transcript has 3 exons. The record is from RefSeq and is a predicted model, not a curated record. NCBI's taxonomy places the organism in Eukaryota, Metazoa, Chordata, Mammalia, Rodentia, Muridae.
UGUAGAGCUGAGUAUGAACCUAAGAGGUGCUGGAAUCAGGACACUGUGGGCUUAAUGUUGUGUAAUAUGUGGUGAAGAAUAGACUAGAAGACUCCCUAAGUAAAAACAUCAGAUCCUUAAGAUGGAAGCUCUGUAUUCUCUGUUUUCCUUUUUUCACAUUUUCACAGAAUAAUACUCUAUUCUGAUGUCUGGAUCAGCCAUUAACACUGACUGAUGAUUUUGUUUUCUGUAAUGAAUGGCCCUGCACAUAUUUAUUUAUUCAUUAGGGGUUUAAUGAUUAUUUAAUAUGCACAAAAUACUAUGCAACGUACAAAAGGAAGGUGUGCCCUUAUGGAGUUCCUGGAUAUGGAGAAAGAUAAGAAGAGAAUUCUUCAUUAGCAUUCACAGCAGAAGAGCAGAACAUGUUCAAGAAGGCUUUGGGGAGGCUCUUCAGAGGAACUGCCUGUGGGGCAGUGAAAGGCAGCCUGUUUUGGUUGAACGAGGCGUGUUCCAGAGACCCAGUUGAAAACUCUACAAGGGACAGAACAGUGAGCCACGUUCCCAGUGACAGUCUCCCCAGGGUCAACAGUGCAGCUUCCUCUGACCAGCACUUCCUGUCUACCCAUCAACCUGGAGUCCCUCCUUCCCGCCAUCUUCAAAGUCAAAGAAGCCUCCAUUAUCUUUCUUUUCUGGCCUUAGAGUCUGACUUCCAGUGCAUCUGAAUCUUAUCGAUGUGCAUCUAUCCACCAAGCAACUGAAUCCCAGCACCCAAUCUUACACACACCACCACCACCACCACCACCACCACCACCACCACCACUACCACCACUCCUUCCACUUGCUUAGGGAUUGAGUUUAUUCUUCAGAGAGCAAGAAGAUGACAAGAGGUGAGCAUGUUUUCUGAACUUCACCUUGUAAUUCUCAGCAAGAGGUAGCAAAUCAAAUGCUUGAGGAUUUUUACUCUCCAGGAUUCCACUCACAGCUCAGACCAGCAGUCAACCAAAGGAACUUUGGAAUGAAAGUGGUCUGAUUAACUGGUGCUGGAAACAAACACAGAGGUAAACCAAUAUUUAGAUUUCAGGGCAAAGAUCUACAGAGCAGAGAUUUUUAAAAAUCAGACUGAGUGAAAUUUAGAGAUUUAAAAAAAAAUUUAAUGGCUGUCUUCAUGCAUGAAAAAUGAAGUGGCUUGUAACUCAGCAAAGCCAUAACUCAGGUGAACACAUACUGAAGAGAAGGACUAAUCCCCUGGUGUAAAAGGCAGACGUGUUCAGAGGAGCCCAGCUAUCAGCACAGUUCAUUUUGUCAUGGCAAUGCUGUGCCGAGCAUCACUGAGAGGUGAGCCUGGGCACAGGUGUGUGUACAGACAGGUAUGCGCACAGAUGGAGUGAAGGUGGCCCGGGUGAUCUUACCCUCACAGCCUGUCCUCAACACCACCACUCAGCAGGGAGGGGACCGCAGCUGCUCUGACACUGCAGGGUGAGGUGUCACAGGGAGCUCUGAGACCAUAGCUGUCACUCAAGGACUCAUUAGCAAUGGAAGGGAGUCAGUGAAGCCUGCUGUGUUGUCAUCAUGCUGGAGAGGGUUGGCUGCAGCCCAAAUUAGCUUGCUUAGGGAGUGUGAAUCAAAAUGACAUGUAAUCUGACUGUUAAUGAAAAUUUCCUCUUGCUUCAGGCUUCAGAUUCCAUCCAGAGAGCUGUCAUUUGGAAGACAUGAUUCAUGAUUCUCUCUCUCCUCUCUCUCUCUCUCCUUUCCUCCCUUCCUCCCUCCCUUCCACCUCUCAUUUUACUUGCAUUUCAAGUUGAUAUCAAAUGUAAAAAUAAAUUUUAACCAGCAGUGCUUGA